GAAUUAGAACCAUAGACGUCUUUGGAAGGGGAGCAGGAUGGAACUCAGGAGAGAAGCAUCUGGGUACAAGUUAAGGAAGUACACCAUGCUUCUGAUGGUUUGGAACCAGAAUAGAUCCCAAGAGGUCCAGGAUCACUGGUUUGUUGGAGGAGGAAUUGCAGUAUACUUAAAAGAGAAAGGAUUUUUACAUUAGAAAAAUCUGGCAUUACCUAUAUCUUUGCAAUUGGUUAAUUGACCUUCAGUAAGCCCUUAGCUUCCUGUUGAACAAGAGUGUCUGUUUCUCAAUGGGUAAUAGGAUAGCAUGUGUCAGAAAAGCAGGCCGGUAGAUCAAACGCCCAGG
This 340-nucleotide long non-coding RNA is filed under the name Homo sapiens (human). RNAcentral describes it as "HSALNT0007781". The record is from RNAcentral. Lineage: Eukaryota; Metazoa; Chordata; Mammalia; Primates; Hominidae.